ACAAGAGAUAAGCUGUUAUAAACACAAGAGAUAAGCUGUUAUAAACACAAGAGAUAAGCUGUUAUAAACACAAGAGAUAAGCUGUUAUAAACACAAGAGAUAAGCUGUUAUAAACACAAGAGAUAACCUGUUAUAAACACAUGAGAUAACCUGUUAUAAACACAAGAGAUAAGCUGUUAUAAACAAGCAACUCACCAUUUGGAUGUUUUAUAUUUAGUAUUCACACAAUCUCCACUUAAAAGAUUUCUGACCAAAAAAAAAUCUCUAGUUGAUCUCAAUUGUGCCUCUGGAUACCACAAACUUAUGCAGGUAGCCUUCUAGACAAACAUUACUUGUAAAAAAAAAAAGUGUUU
Biomphalaria pfeifferi is the source of this 353-nucleotide non-coding RNA. Lineage: Eukaryota; Metazoa; Mollusca; Gastropoda; Planorbidae. The record is from the annotation of a GenBank genome assembly.